CCUACGGGAGGCAGCAGUCGAGAAUCAUUCACAAUGGGGGAAACCCUGAUGGUGCGACGCCGCGUGGGGGAUUGAAGGUCUUCGGAUUGUAAACCCCUGUCAUGUGGGAGCAAAUUCAACAGAUUGUACCACACGAGGUAGAGACGGCUAACUCUGUGCCAGCAGCCUCGGUAAUUCCGAGGUCUCACGCGUUGUUCGGAAUCACUGGGCGUAAAGCGUGCGUAGGCUGUUUCGUAAGUCGUGUGUGAAAUGAGCGGGCUCAACCGGCGAACUGCACAUGAUACUGGGAGACUAGAGUAAGGGAGGGGGAAGCGGAAUGCUCGGUGUAGGAGUGAAAUGCGUAGAUAUCGAGAGGAACACUCGUGGCGAAGGCGGGUACCGGGAAAUUAACUGACGCUGAGGCGCGAAGGCCAGGGGAGCGAAAAGGAUUAGAUACCCGUGUAGUC
RNAcentral lists this ribosomal RNA (446 nucleotides) under uncultured bacterium. Its description in RNAcentral is "partial 16S ribosomal RNA". It matches the Rfam family "Bacterial small subunit ribosomal RNA", at positions 338 to 795 of the family's 1533-position model. The record is from RNAcentral.